Mirounga angustirostris (Northern elephant seal) is the source of this 2092-nucleotide long non-coding RNA. RefSeq lists it as uncharacterized. The record is from RefSeq and is a predicted model, not a curated record. The transcript has 3 exons. Lineage: Eukaryota; Metazoa; Chordata; Mammalia; Carnivora; Phocidae.
ACCCUGCUCGAGUAAGCACUAGGGAGGGGUCCGUGGGAAUGGUCUGUCGGCCAGGGUAGGCCUCAGAUCAUUUCCCGAGAAGCUCAGGAAAGUUCCUAUCGGCUGUUCAGAGCCUAGCACGUUCGGGUUUCAUGGGUUGUGAAAUAGAAAACCAUGCACAGGAAAGAAGUUGACCACACCCUGCGGUUGUCUCUAGUUAAUUCAAUCCCGGAUCUGUUUGCUCUCCAUUUGCAGAGACCGUCCUGACUCGAGGCCACCAAGCUUCCCCACCUGACCUUCCUGCCACUCUCCUUGUCCUUCCGACCCAUUCCCGGUGUGGCCGCCCUGCCCUGAUGGCAGCUACUCCUACUUAGAGCCUCUAGAAGGAUGCCAAGUCUAGGAGAUCCCGGUCUAGGUUUCCCUGGGCCACCAAGGCCCCGAACCAUCUAGGCACCGCAUCCUCUGCAGAGCGCUCUGGUACCCAAGCAGCCAGAGGAACCACAUGCUAAAAGACCCCACUUUAGGAGCAGACCAAACCUCACCACCACUCAGGAACACUAUUGUCACACUGCCGUCCUACUUAGCGCUUCUGCUUCUCGGGUCCUCCGAGGGGCAUGUUCUCCUCCCUAGCUCCCUCCUCUGAGAGGCGCUUCCUCACCUCCACCUGAUCAUGCCCCCUGCAUAGAUGUGCCGUGUUUGUCCAUCUCCAGUCACUCCCCCUCCCUUCCAGCCCCCCAGUCACCACCUCCACACAGUUCCCUUUACGGCAGAGUCCUCCCACGUGCACGUCCACAGUCUGCCCACUUCGCUUCCAGCCCCGCAUUCUUACCAAAUUCAUGAAUGACCGGCAUUUUGAAAACCGAGACGUUAUCACAGAUUUGAUUAGCCUAGCAACAGCAUCUGCCACGGCCGAUCAUGGCCCUCACUUUCCUUUGUUUCUAGAACUUCCUCUGGCUUUCUAUUUCUCUGGAAAUCUCCCCUCAGACUCCUUUGCUAUAUCUUACAGAACAAUGUUCUCAAACUUUAGCCUGCUUCAGAAUCACCUGGAGGGCUUGUGAAAACACAAUGCACUGUGUGUCCCCGCCCUUUAAAAAUUUUUUUUAACUUAUAAAAAAUAAAUUCUACCCUCAACGUGUGACUUGAACUCAACCCCACAGUCAAGAAUCACAUGCUCUACAGGCUAAACCAGCCAGGCACUGUAUUCUUGGCUUUAAUUUUUAAGGGGCAUCUGGGUGGCUCAACCUGUUAAGCAUCCAACUCUUGAUCUCAGCUCAUGAUCUCUGGGUCAUGUGCUCGGGCCUCACAUUGGGCUCCACACUGGGCGUGGAGCCUACUUAAAUUUUAUUUUUAUGUAAUCUCUACAUCCAACAUGGGGCUCUAACUCAAGAUCCUGAGAUCAAGAGUCCUAUGCUCUUCUGAUGGAGCCAGCCAGGCACCCCCUAAGUUUUUUGUUUCGUUUUUGAGUGGAAAACCCAACAGUUUGAUAUGGGUGAUGAGCUACAACAUCUUUAGCAAGCUAUACAAGUCACUGCCUCCAUUAUUGGCACCCAACGGGCCACACUGGGCUAGAGCAUCCCUGUGGCUGAACCAGGCUUAGACCCAUGGGUCUAAGGCUCACUCCCAGCCCACAUGUGGAAGGACCACAUACAACCAACCUGGGCUGCCUCUCGUGGGUGGUCCCACAUCACUUCCAAGUUCAGCUGUGGUCUGCAGAAGAGACGGAGCAGAAGACUGAGCGAGGGCCCCUGAGCGCAGAGCUAGACACGGACUUCAUCAAUUCUGAUUGUAUCGGAGCUGUUGGACUUCAAAGACACCAUGUAAGCCGGUCUUUGGGCCCGCGCCCUUCCCCAGGCAGCCUCACCUUAGCCUGCUUGUCACUCGUCAUCUCGACCUGCCCACUGCGGUAGAUGUCCACAUCCAGGGAGACCACUGAAACAAGAGGGAAAGUUUCCGCCACCCAGACCUGCUGGACGGAGCCUCGAAGUGCCAGAGCUUGUCUCCUGAUGUGCUCCGUCCCAACUGGAAUGCCAUGGCCAGAAGAACAGACCACAGUCACUGCAUGUACUUUGCCCCUGCACGGAUGCUCAGGGACCAGAUCCCUGCUACAAACCAG